GACAGAGGGGGCAAGCGUUGCUCGGAAUCACUGGGCGUAAAGGGCGCGUAGGCGGGGCGGCAAGUCGGUCGUGAAAUCCUCCGGCUCAACCGGAGAACGUCGGCCGAUACUGCCGUUCUUGAGGGAUGCAGAGGAGACUGGAAUUCCCGGUGUAGCGGUGAAAUGUGUAGAGAUCGGGAGGAACACCGGUGGCGAAGGCGGGUCUCUGGGCAUCUCCUGACGCUGAGGCGCGAAAGCGUGGGGAGCAAACGG
RNAcentral lists this ribosomal RNA (252 nucleotides) under uncultured prokaryote. RNAcentral describes it as "partial 16S ribosomal RNA". It matches the Rfam family "Bacterial small subunit ribosomal RNA", at positions 524 to 775 of the family's 1533-position model. The record is from RNAcentral.